UGAAAGGCUGCUUGUCAUAAGGGCCAUUUCGGCCUAUCAGGCCUGCUGCUCUAGGGUUUACACUGAGACCUUCAAAUGGAACAACAACAACAAAAGAAAGAAAAAAGAGGUGCGGAGGUCAAAGGGAGCAUCAGAAAUGGAGAGUAUCUGCAAGCCAGGCCACUUGUGUAUGGGGAAAGUGGCAUUCCUAUGGGCUAACUAUGCCAGGAUCUACGUAUGUAAUACAUACAACAGAAAGAACUCAAAGUACUCCUAGUAUUUUAGAGAGACACACAGAAGACCAUCAGACAGACAGAGCAGCAGAAAGGUAGGAAUGGAUAGGGGACAUGGACCAGGCAGAGAAGACUGGAGGGAGCGAAAGAGAAAGACUGUUAGUGGAAAGUCAGAAAUGGGCAAGAAGUGGUCUGAGCAAGCUACCUAUGACCGGAUAGGAACUAAUGUCUACAGCACAGACUCAAGACAGACGGAAUCAGAUGCUAUCACUGAUCCACGCACAAACUUCUCUUCAUUUCAAGGAUACUGUGUAGUCUCCUGCAUAUGCAGAGAAAGAGGACUUUUGAAUUCAGUAUAUAGAAGUGAAGUUCCAGCACCAUAAUGAACCAUUUCUUAACACUUAGUCAAAUUGUCCCUAGUAUUUUAUAUCUAUAAACAGUUCUCUUUUUCUGCAUUUACACUGUGCUCAUCAUCACUGUGAUAUCUGAGAACCUAAUCAAGAUUUUAAUCAUACUUAAUACUCAAACUCCUGCAAGUAGUUAAUUCAGUAAUGUUUGUGCAGCCCAUUAAACAUGUAAAACACUGUAUAAUUGAUAGGUUUGUAUUAUUAUGGGGAAGUAAAUAAAUGGGGGGGAACUGAGGCAGUGAGGUGAAGUGAUUUUUCCCAAGACUACACUGCAAGCCAACUGGAGAGAUGAGAGUCAGGAAUUCCUCACUCAGCUAGGAGCUCAUUCCUUUAGACCUCAUAUUAUGGGUCUGACUCAAAACUCACUGAAGUAAAUGGGAGUGUUUCCACAGCCUCCAACUGACUUUGGAUCAGGCCCUGCAAACAAAGGUCAAGACAACAAUUGCAAGUGGCUGAAAGAAUCACACAGUCUAAGGGAGAAGUAUGAUUUGUCUGUGAAUCAUAAAUUCUGCCCUAACUCCAGUACUCUGGAAGAGAAUCCAUUUAUAAAUAUCCAGCUAUAAAUAUCAACUAUAGCUACUAUUCUUAACACCAGAAUCCUGGCCAUGUAGUCAGGGCAUUUAUGGGAGGAAUAGUUUGCAUCUACACCUCUAUCCCGAUAUAAUGCAGUCCUCAGGAGACAA
Molecule: long non-coding RNA, 1302 nt
Organism: Mauremys reevesii (Reeves's turtle)
Lineage: Eukaryota; Metazoa; Chordata; Testudines; Geoemydidae
Exons: 3
Source: RefSeq, a predicted model, not a curated record